GAUGAACGCUGGCGGCGUGCCUAAUACAUGCAAGUCGAGCGAACAGACGAGGAGCUUGCUCCUCUGACGUUAGCGGCGGACGGGUGAGUAACACGUGGAUAACCUACCUAUAAGACUGGGAUAACUUCGGGAAACCGGAGCUAAUACCGGAUAAUAUAUUGAACCGCAUGGUUCAAUAGUGAAAGACGGUUUUGCUGUCACUUAUAGAUGGAUCCGCGCCGCAUUAGCUAGUUGGUAAGGUAACGGCUUACCAAGGCAACGAUGCGUAGCCGACCUGAGAGGGUGAUCGGCCACACUGGAACUGAGACACGGUCCAGACUCCUACGGGAGGCAGCAGUAGGGAAUCUUCCGCAAUGGGCGAAAGCUUUACGGAGCAACGCCGCGUGAGUGAUGAAGGUCUUCGGAUCGUAAAACUCUGUUAUUAGUGAAGAACAAAUGUGUAAGUAACUAUGCACGUCUUGACGGUACCCAAUCAGAAAGCCACGGCUAACUACGUG
RNAcentral lists this ribosomal RNA (497 nucleotides) under uncultured bacterium. RNAcentral's name for it is "partial 16S ribosomal RNA". It matches the Rfam family "Bacterial small subunit ribosomal RNA", at positions 28 to 507 of the family's 1533-position model. The record is from RNAcentral.